This 386-nucleotide unclassified non-coding RNA is filed under the name Hevea brasiliensis (rubber tree). Lineage: Eukaryota; Viridiplantae; Streptophyta; Magnoliopsida; Malpighiales; Euphorbiaceae. The record is from RNAcentral.
AAUUGCUACCGGGAGGGUGUUACAUUCUUUUCCUGUUUUUAAGAGACAUUUCUCUUUCUAGCUUUUUAGUUUUUAUGCAACUAUAUCACAUAAGUUUCUAAGGACAAUCUUCUUUGAUCUCCCUACGUAUUUUUUAUGAUGAACUACUCCCCUCACUCCAAGAACAUCUCGGAUAACAUUAGAAAUCUCUACUGCAACAUUCCAACUAAAACAUAUUUCUGACUUCUCCAAGUUGAUUUUCUGCGCUGAAGAUCUUUUAUAAGCAUGAAGAAUUUUGAGCAUAGUCUUCGCUUCUUCCUUCGUUGCUCUCCCAAAAUUCACACUAUCAUCAGCGAAAAACAAAUGGGAGAUUGAAGGGGCAUAUCUACAAUUUUUAAUUCCAUGAA